GACGAACGCUGGCGGCGUGCUUAACACAUGCAAGUCGAACGGAAAGGCCCUGCUUUUGUGGGGUGCUCGAGUGGCGAACGGGUGAGUAACACGUGAGUAACCUGCCCUUGACUUUGGGAUAACUUCAGGAAACUGGGGCUAAUACCGGAUCGGAGCUCCUGCUGCAUGGUGGGGGUUGGAAAGUUUCGGCUGUUGGGGAUGGACUCGCGGCUUAUCAGCUUGUUGGUGGGGUAGUUGCUUACCAAGGCUUUGACGGGUAGGCGGCCUGAGAGGGUGACCGGGGACAUGGGUACUAAGAUACGGCCCAGAGUCCUACGGGAGGCAGCAGGGGGGAAUAUUGCACAGUGGGCGGAAGCCUGAUGCAGCAGCGCCGCGUGCGGGAUGACGGCCUUCGGGUUGUAAACCGCUUUCGCCUGUGACGAAGCGUGAGUGACGGUAAUGGAUAAAGAAGCACCGGCUAACUACGUG
RNAcentral lists this ribosomal RNA (468 nucleotides) under uncultured bacterium. RNAcentral's name for it is "partial 16S ribosomal RNA". It matches the Rfam family "Bacterial small subunit ribosomal RNA", at positions 28 to 507 of the family's 1533-position model. The record is from RNAcentral.